Molecule: ribosomal RNA, 196 nt
Filed under: Clostridiales bacterium
Lineage: Bacteria; Bacillati; Bacillota; Clostridia; Eubacteriales
Description: partial 16S ribosomal RNA
Rfam family: Bacterial small subunit ribosomal RNA
Source: RNAcentral
UAAUUUGAGAGUUUGAUCUUGGCUCAGGAUGAACGCUGGCGGCGUGCUUAACACAUGCAAGUCGAGCGUAGUUUAGAUAGGUGCUUGCACCUAGUUAAACUAAGCGGCGGACGGGUGAGUAACGCGUGGGUAACCUGCCUUAUACACAGGAAUAACAAUGAGAAAUCAUUGCUAAUGCCGGAUAAGCCGGAACUGC